AAUUCUCAACUCCCUUCGAUUUCUUCGAAGGUGAGCUUGGACGUUGGAGGCCUGCAGGCUGUAAAGUCGGCUCCUCUGAAAUGCAUUGACAAAGGCGUGUGCAUGUUACGGCCUUCGGUGUGAUAAUGAUCACCGUGGCUGGCUUGCUGUAACACCUGUGUCUGAUCUUUCUUCCAUUUGCUUGGAAAAAGCUUACUUGACC
This 202-nucleotide unclassified non-coding RNA is filed under the name uncultured Coniophora. Its description in RNAcentral is "sequence contains ITS2". The record is from RNAcentral. Lineage: Eukaryota; Fungi; Basidiomycota; Agaricomycetes; Boletales; Coniophoraceae.